GUGUCUGUAGCCUAGUUGGUUAAGGCAGUACUCUAGUAUGUGUCCUGAGAUUGUGGUUUGAGUCCAUCCAGACACA
Puccinia sorghi is the source of this 76-nucleotide non-coding RNA. Lineage: Eukaryota; Fungi; Basidiomycota; Pucciniomycetes; Pucciniales; Pucciniaceae. The record is from the annotation of a GenBank genome assembly.